Molecule: ribosomal RNA, 444 nt
Filed under: uncultured prokaryote
Description: bacterial SSU rRNA
Rfam family: Bacterial small subunit ribosomal RNA
Source: RNAcentral
CCUCGGGCGGCAGCAGUGGGGAAUCUUGCGCAAUGGGCGAAAGCCUGACGCAGCAACGCCGCGUGUGUGAUGAAGGUCUUCGGAUCGUAAAGCACUGUCGCGAGGGACGAAUAAGGGUCGGGUUAACAUCCCGGUCCGAUGACGGUACCUCGAAAGGAAGCACCGGCUAACUCUGUGCCAGCAGCCGCGGUAAUACAGAGGGUGCCAGCGUUGUUCGGAAUUAUUGGGCGUAAAGCGCGUGUAGGCGGCUCAGUAAGUCAGGUGGGAAAGCCCUCGGCGUAACCGAGGAAGUGCGCCUGAAACUGUUGAGCUUGAGUGCCGGAGAGGGGGGCGGAAUUCCCGGUGUAGAGGUGAAAGUCGUAGAUAUCGGGAGGAACACCAGCGGCGAAGGCGGCCACCUGGACGGUUACUGACGCUGAGACGCGAAAGCGUGGGGAGCAAACA